AGCUUGAUUGCAAGACAUACAGGUCGAGCAAGGAUGAAAAUCGGACUUAGUGAUCCGGUGGUUCUGCGUGGAAGGGCCAUCGCUCAACGGAUAAAAGCUACCCUGGGGAUAACAGGCUUAUCUCCCCCAAGAGUCCACAUCGACGGGGAGGUUUGGCACCUCGAUGUCGGCUCAUCACAGCCUGGGGCUGUAGUAGGUCCCAAGGGUUGGGCUGUUCGCCCAUUAAAGUGGUACGCGAGCUGGGUUCAGAACGUCGUGAGACAGUUCGGUCCCUAUCCGUCGCAGGCGUAGGAAAUGUGAGAAGACCUGUCC
RNAcentral lists this ribosomal RNA (312 nucleotides) under Clostridioides difficile. RNAcentral's name for it is "partial 23S ribosomal RNA". It matches the Rfam family "Bacterial large subunit ribosomal RNA", at positions 2366 to 2677 of the family's 2925-position model. Lineage: Bacteria; Bacillati; Bacillota; Clostridia; Peptostreptococcales; Peptostreptococcaceae. The record is from RNAcentral.